CGCGAAGUUAGCCGGGGCUUCUUCUGUGGGUACCGUCAUUAUCGUCCCCACUGAAAGAGCUUUACAACCCUAGGGCCUUCAUCACUCACGCGGCAUGGCUGGAUCAGGCUUGCGCCCAUUGUCCAAUAUUCCCCACUGCUGCCUCCCGUAGGAGUUUGGGCCGUGUCUCAGUCCCAAUGUGGCUGAUCAUCCUCUUAGACCAGCUAUGGAUCGUCGCCUUGGUAGGCCUUUACCCCACCAACUAGCUAAUCCAACGCGGGCUCAUCCUUCCCCGAUAAAUCUUUCUCCCUCAGGACGUAUACGGUAUUAAUUCCAGUUUCCCGGAGCUAUCCCGUAGAGAAGGGUAGAUUCCCACGCGUUACUCACCCGUCUGCCACUCACCCCGAAAGGUGCGUUCGACUUGCAUGUGUUAAGCCUGCCGCCAGCGUUCGUUCUGAGCCAGGAUCAAACUCU
RNAcentral lists this ribosomal RNA (453 nucleotides) under uncultured Aurantimonas sp. RNAcentral's name for it is "partial 16S ribosomal RNA". Lineage: Bacteria; Pseudomonadati; Pseudomonadota; Alphaproteobacteria; Hyphomicrobiales; Aurantimonadaceae. The record is from RNAcentral.